Molecule: ribosomal RNA, 1522 nt
Filed under: Lacticaseibacillus casei
Lineage: Bacteria; Bacillati; Bacillota; Bacilli; Lactobacillales; Lactobacillaceae
Description: bacterial SSU rRNA
Rfam family: Bacterial small subunit ribosomal RNA
Source: RNAcentral
GAUGAACGCUGGCGGCGUGCCUAAUACAUGCAAGUCGAACGAGUUUUGGUCGAUGAACGGUGCUUGCACUGAGAUUCGACUUAAAACGAGUGGCGGACGGGUGAGUAACACGUGGGUAACCUGCCCUUAAGUGGGGGAUAACAUUUGGAAACAGAUGCUAAUACCGCAUAAAUCCAAGAACCGCAUGGUUCUUGGCUGAAAGAUGGCGCAAGCUAUCGGCUUUUGGAUGGACCCGCGGCGUAUUAGCUAGUUGGUGAGGUAACGGCUCACCAAGGCGAUGAUACGUAGCCAACUGAGAGGUUGAUCGGCCACAUUGGGACUGAGACACGGCCCAAACUCCUACGGGAGGCAGCAGUAGGGAAUCUUCCACAAUGGACGCAAGUCUGAUGGAGCAACGCCGCGUGAGUGAAGAAGGCUUUCGGGUCGUAAAACUCUGUUGUUGGAGAAGAAUGGUCGGCAGAGUAACUGUUGUCGGCGUGACGGUAUCCAACCAGAAAGCCACGGCUAACUACGUGCCAGCAGCCGCGGUAAUACGUAGGUGGCAAGCGUUAUCCGGAUUUAUUGGGCGUAAAGCGAGCGCAGGCGGUUUUUUAAGUCUGAUGUGAAAGCCCUCGGCUUAACCGAGGAAGCGCAUCGGAAACUGGGAAACUUGAGUGCAGAAGAGGACAGUGGAACUCCAUGUGUAGCGGUGAAAUGCGUAGAUAUAUGGAAGAACACCAGUGGCGAAGGCGGCUGUCUGGUCUGUAACUGACGCUGAGGCUCGAAAGCAUGGGUAGCGAACAGGAUUAGAUACCCUGGUAGUCCAUGCCGUAAACGAUGAAUGCUAGGUGUUGGAGGGUUUCCGCCCUUCAGUGCCGCAGCUAACGCAUUAAGCAUUCCGCCUGGGGAGUACGACCGCAAGGUUGAAACUCAAAGGAAUUGACGGGGGCCCGCACAAGCGGUGGAGCAUGUGGUUUAAUUCGAAGCAACGCGAAGAACCUUACCAGGUCUUGACAUCUUUUGAUCACCUGAGAGAUCAGGUUUCCCCUUCGGGGGCAAAAUGACAGGUGGUGCAUGGUUGUCGUCAGCUCGUGUCGUGAGAUGUUGGGUUAAGUCCCGCAACGAGCGCAACCCUUAUGACUAGUUGCCAGCAUUGAGUUGGGCACUCUAGUAAGACUGCCGGUGACAAACCGGAGGAAGGUGGGGAUGACGUCAAAUCAUCAUGCCCCUUAUGACCUGGGCUACACACGUGCUACAAUGGAUGGUACAACGAGUUGCGAGACCGCGAGGUCAAGCUAAUCUCUUAAAGCCAUUCUCAGUUCGGACUGUAGGCUGCAACUCGCCUACACGAAGUCGGAAUCGCUAGUAAUCGCGGAUCAGCACGCCGCGGUGAAUACGUUCCCGGGCCUUGUACACACCGCCCGUCACACCAUGAGAGUUUGUAACACCCGAAGCCGGUGGCGUAACCCUUUUAGGGAGCGAGCCGUCUAAGGUGGGACAAAUGAUUAGGGUGAAGUCGUAACAAGGUAGCCGUAGGAGAACC